GGGGAAUCUUGCACAAUGGGGGAAACCCUGAUGCAGCGAUGCCGCGUGAGUGAAGAAGGCCUUUGGGUUGUAAAGCUCUUUCGUCGGGGAAGAAAAUGACUGUACCCGAAUAAGAAGGUCCGGCUAACUUCGUGCCAGCAGCCGCGGUAAUACGAAGGGACCUAGCGUAGUUCGGAAUUACUGGGCUUAAAGAGCUCGUAGGUGGUUAGAAAAGUUGGUGGUGAAAUCCCAAGGCUUAACCUUGGAACUGCCACCAAAACUUUUUGACUAGAGUAUGAUAGAGGUAAGCGGAAUUUCUAGUGUAGAGGUGAAAUUCGUAGAUAUUAGAAAGAACACCAAUUGCGAAGGCAGCUUUCUGGAUCAUUACUGACACUGAGGAGCGAAAGCAUGGGUAGCGAAG
This 400-nucleotide ribosomal RNA is filed under the name uncultured Pelagibacterales bacterium. RNAcentral describes it as "bacterial SSU rRNA". It matches the Rfam family "Bacterial small subunit ribosomal RNA", at positions 356 to 773 of the family's 1533-position model. The record is from RNAcentral. Lineage: Bacteria; Pseudomonadati; Pseudomonadota; Alphaproteobacteria; Candidatus Pelagibacterales.